CGUAGGGUGCGAGCGUUGUCCGGAUUUAUUGGGCGUAAAGGGCUCGUAGGUGGUUGAUCGCGUCGGAAGUGUAAUCUUGGGGCUUAACCCUGAGCGUGCUUUCGAUACGGGUUGACUUGAGGAAGGUAGGGGAGAAUGGAAUUCCUGGUGGAGCGGUGGAAUGCGCAGAUAUCAGGAGGAACACCAGUGGCGAAGGCGGUUCUCUGGGCCUUUCCUGACGCUGAGGAGCGAAAAGCGUGGGGGAGCGAACAGGCUU
RNAcentral lists this ribosomal RNA (256 nucleotides) under uncultured bacterium. Its description in RNAcentral is "partial 16S ribosomal RNA". It matches the Rfam family "Bacterial small subunit ribosomal RNA", at positions 526 to 779 of the family's 1533-position model. The record is from RNAcentral.